RNAcentral lists this ribosomal RNA (253 nucleotides) under uncultured bacterium. RNAcentral's name for it is "partial 16S ribosomal RNA". It matches the Rfam family "Bacterial small subunit ribosomal RNA", at positions 524 to 776 of the family's 1533-position model. The record is from RNAcentral.
GACAGAGGGUGCAAACGUUGUUCGGAUUUACUGGGCGUAAAGCGUGUGUAGGCGGCUUGGCAAGUUGGAUGUGAAAGCCCACGGCUCAACCGUGGAAGCGCAUCCAAAACUGCUUCGCUCGAGUCUCGGAGAGGAAGGUGGAAUGCUUGGUGUAGAGGUGAAAUUCGUAGAUAUCAAGCAGAACACCUGCGGCGAAGGCGGCCUUCUGGACGAUGACUGACGCUGAGACACGAAAGCGUGGGGAGCAACCAGG